Molecule: ribosomal RNA, 109 nt
Filed under: Pteropus alecto (black flying fox)
Lineage: Eukaryota; Metazoa; Chordata; Mammalia; Chiroptera; Pteropodidae
Source: RNAcentral
GUCUAUGGCCAUGCUACCCUGAACAAGCCCGAUCCCGUCUAAUCUCGGAAACUAAGCCUGGUUAGUACUUGGAUGGGAGACCACCUAAGAAGACCAGGUGCUGCAGGCA